UAAGACAGAGGUGGCAAGCGUUGUUCGGAAUUACUGGGCUUAAAGGGCGCGUAGGCGGUAAGAUAAGUCUGUGGUGAAAUCCUAUGGCUUAACCAUAGAAUUGCCAUGGAAACUGUUUUACUUGAGUCAGCGAGGGGAUGGUGGAAUUCCUGGUGUAGCAGUGAAAUGCGUAGAUAUCCGGAGGAAGGCCGGUGGCGAAGGCGGCCAUCUGGCGCUGAACUGACGCUGAGGCGCGAAAGCGUGGGUAGCAAACAGGAUUAGAUACCCUGGUAGUCCACGCCCUAAACGGUGGGCAUUAGGUGUAGGGCUCGUAAGGGUUCUGUGCCGUAGGGAAACCAUUAAAUGCCCCGCCUGGGGAGUACGGCCGCAAGGUUAAAACUUAAAGGAAUUGACGG
RNAcentral lists this ribosomal RNA (395 nucleotides) under uncultured bacterium. Its description in RNAcentral is "bacterial SSU rRNA". It matches the Rfam family "Bacterial small subunit ribosomal RNA", at positions 521 to 916 of the family's 1533-position model. The record is from RNAcentral.